This 491-nucleotide ribosomal RNA is filed under the name uncultured bacterium. Its description in RNAcentral is "partial 16S ribosomal RNA". It matches the Rfam family "Bacterial small subunit ribosomal RNA", at positions 29 to 507 of the family's 1533-position model. The record is from RNAcentral.
AGUGAACGCUGGCGGUAGGCCUAACACAUGCAAGUCGAACGGCAGCACAGUAAGAGCUUGCUCUUACGGGUGGCGAGUGGCGGACGGGUGAGGAAUAUAUCGGAAUCUACUUUUUCGUAGGGGUUAACGUAGGGGAACUUACGCCAAUACCGCAUACGACGUACGGGUGAAAGCAGGGGAUCUUCGGACCUUGCGCGAUUGAAUGAGCCGAUGUCGGAUUAGUUGGUUGGCGGGGUACUGGCCCACCAAGGGGCCGGUCGGUAGCUGGUCUGAGGGGAGGUAGCGCGCCACAGAAAGUGAGCGACGGCACUGACACUACGGGAGGCAGCAGUGGGGAAUAUUGGACAAUGGGCGGAAGCCUGAUCCAGCCAUCCCGCGUGUGUGAAGAAGGCCUUCGGUUUGUAAAGCCCUUUUGUUGGGAAAGAAAAGCAGUAGGUUAAUACCCCGCUGUUCUGACGGUACCCAAAGAAUAAGCACCGGCUAACUUCGUG